UCCUCGUUAGUAUAGUGGUGAGUAUCCCCGCCUGUCACGCGGGAGACCAGGGUUCGAUUCCCUGACGGGGAG
RNAcentral lists this transfer RNA (72 nucleotides) under Chelonia mydas (Green sea turtle). It matches the Rfam family "tRNA". Rfam says of the family: Transfer RNA (tRNA) molecules are approximately 80 nucleotides in length. Their secondary structure includes four short double-helical elements and three loops (D, anti-codon, and T loops). Further hydrogen bonds mediate the characteristic L-shaped molecular structure. tRNAs have two regions of fundamental functional importance: the anti-codon, which is responsible for specific mRNA codon recognition, and the 3' end, to which the tRNAs corresponding amino acid is attached (by aminoacyl-tRNA synthetases). tRNAs cope with the degeneracy of the genetic code in two manners: having more than one tRNA (with a specific anti-codon) for a particular amino acid; and 'wobble' base-pairing, i.e. permitting non-standard base-pairing at the 3rd anti-codon position. Lineage: Eukaryota; Metazoa; Chordata; Testudines; Cheloniidae. RNAcentral also lists the same sequence under 2 other names. The record is from Rfam by way of RNAcentral.